This 28-nucleotide ribosomal RNA is filed under the name Mucor racemosus. RNAcentral describes it as "partial 28S ribosomal RNA". The record is from RNAcentral. RNAcentral also lists the same sequence under 2 other names. Lineage: Eukaryota; Fungi; Mucoromycota; Mucoromycetes; Mucorales; Mucoraceae.
AUUUGAUCUGAAAUCAGGCGGGAUUACC